This 314-nucleotide ribosomal RNA is filed under the name uncultured eukaryote. RNAcentral's name for it is "partial 18S ribosomal RNA". It matches the Rfam family "Eukaryotic small subunit ribosomal RNA", at positions 1470 to 1796 of the family's 1831-position model. The record is from RNAcentral.
CCCCUAGAUGUUCUGGGCCGCACGCGCGCUACACUGAACAGUUCAACAAGUCUUAACCUUGGCCGAUAGGUCUGGGUAAUCUUUGAACGCUGUUCGUGAUUGGGAUAGACCUUUGCAAUUAUGGGUCUUCAACGAGGAAUUCCUAGUAAACGCAAGUCAUCAGCUUGCAUUGAUUACGUCCCUGCCCUUUGUACACACCGCCCGUCGCACCUACCGAUUGAAUGGUCCGGUGAAGCCUCCGGAUUGGCGCGCACCUCGGUGCCGCCGAGACGUUGGCUAAACCUUACCAUUUAGAGGAAGGUGAAGUCGUAACA